RNAcentral lists this ribosomal RNA (325 nucleotides) under uncultured bacterium. RNAcentral describes it as "bacterial SSU rRNA". It matches the Rfam family "Bacterial small subunit ribosomal RNA", at positions 18 to 344 of the family's 1533-position model. The record is from RNAcentral.
CCUGGCUCAGGAUGAACGCUGACAGAAUGCUUAACACAUGCAAGUCGAUGGGGAAGUGGUGCUUGCACCAUGGUAACCAUGGCGGACGGGUGAGUAACGCGUAAGGGACUUACCUGCAGGACUGGGAUAACAGGGGGAAACUCCUGCCAAGACCGGAUAAUGUCAUGGGGCUGCAUGGCUCUGUGAUUAAAGGAGACGCCUGCGGAGAGACUUGCGUCCUAUUAGCUAGUUGGUGAGGUAAUGGCUCACCAAGGCGAUGAUAGGUAGCCGGCCUGAGAGGGUGAACGGCCACAAGGGGACUGAGAUACGGCCCUUACUCCUACGG